RNAcentral lists this ribosomal RNA (460 nucleotides) under uncultured bacterium. Its description in RNAcentral is "bacterial SSU rRNA". It matches the Rfam family "Bacterial small subunit ribosomal RNA", at positions 29 to 524 of the family's 1533-position model. The record is from RNAcentral.
AGUGAACGUUGGCGGCGUGGAUUAGGCAUGCAAGUCGAGCGAUCGUAGCAAUACGGGAGCGGCAAACGGGGUAGGAAUACAUCGGAACGUACCUUUUGGUUGAGAAUAGCGUUGGGAAACUGACGGUAAUACUCAAUAAAGUCGAGAGACCAAAGGUUUACUGCCGGAAGAGCGGCCGAUGCGAUAUUAGGUAGUUGGUGGGGUAAUGGCCUACCAAGCCUGAGAUGUCUAGGGGGUGUGAGAGCAUGGCCCCCACCACUGGGACUGAGAUACUGCCCAGACACCUACGGGUGGCUGCAGUCGAGGAUCUUCGUCAAUGGGCGAAAGCCUGAACGAGCGACGCCGCGUGCGGGAUGAAGGCCCUUGGGUUGUAAACCGCUGUCAGGGGGGAGUGAAACCGUAAGGUUGACAGAGCCCCAGAGGAAGCACGGGCUAAGUUCGUGCCAGCAGCCGCGGUAAU